CCAGACUCCUACGGGAGGCAGCAGUGGGGAAUAUUGCACAAUGGGGGAAACCCUGAUGCAGCGACGCCGCGUGAGUGAAGAAGUAUUUCGGUAUGUAAAGCUCUAUCAGCAGGGAAGAUAAUGACGGUACCUGACUAAGAAGCCCCGGCUGACUACGUGCCAGCAGCCGCGGUAAUACGUAGGGGGCAAGCGUUAUCCGGAUUUACUGGGUGUAAAGGGAGCGUAGGUGGCAGGGCAAGUCAGAUGUGAAAACCCGGGGCUCAACCCCGGGAGUGCAUUUGAAACUGUCCAGCUGGAGUGCAGGAGAGGUAAGCGGAAUUCCUAGUGUAGCGGUGAAAUGCAUAGAUAUAAGGAAGAACACCAGUGGCGAAGGCGGAUGACUGGACGGCAACUGACGGUGAGGCGCGAAGGCGUGGGGAGCAAACAGGAUUAGAUACCCCAGUAAAA
RNAcentral lists this ribosomal RNA (447 nucleotides) under uncultured bacterium. Its description in RNAcentral is "partial 16S ribosomal RNA". It matches the Rfam family "Bacterial small subunit ribosomal RNA", at positions 331 to 793 of the family's 1533-position model. The record is from RNAcentral.